This 236-nucleotide unclassified non-coding RNA is filed under the name uncultured Paraphoma. Its description in RNAcentral is "sequence contains ITS2". The record is from RNAcentral. Lineage: Eukaryota; Fungi; Ascomycota; Dothideomycetes; Pleosporales; Phaeosphaeriaceae.
AACGCACAUUGCGCCCCUUGGUAUUCCAUGGGGCAUGCCUGUUCGAGCGUCAUUUGUACCUUCAAGCUUUGCUUGGUGUUGGGUGUUUGUCCCGAGGGACUCGCCUUAAAGUAAUUGGCAGCCAGUGUUUGGUUUUGAAGCGCAGCACAAGUCGCGAUUCAAGGCUACACGCCCGCUUCCACAAGCCUUUUUUCACUUUUGACCUCGGAUCAGGUAGGGAUACCCGCUGAACUUAA